AACUCUCGGCAACGGAUAUCUCGGCUCUCGCAUCGAUGAAGAACGUAGCAAAAUGCGAUACUUGGUGUGAAUUGCAUAAUCCCGUGAACCAUCGAGUCUUUGAACGCAAGUUGCGCCCCAAGGCCUAGGGGACGUAUGUCUGGGUGUCA
RNAcentral lists this ribosomal RNA (149 nucleotides) under Brassica napus (rape). Its description in RNAcentral is "rRNA 5_8S_rRNA". It matches the Rfam family "5.8S ribosomal RNA". From Rfam's summary of the family: 5.8S ribosomal RNA (5.8S rRNA) is a component of the large subunit of the eukaryotic ribosome. It is transcribed by RNA polymerase I as part of the 45S precursor that also contains 18S and 28S rRNA. Functionally, it is thought that 5.8S rRNA may be involved in ribosome translocation. Lineage: Eukaryota; Viridiplantae; Streptophyta; Magnoliopsida; Brassicales; Brassicaceae. The record is from RNAcentral.